Molecule: ribosomal RNA, 304 nt
Filed under: uncultured eukaryote
Lineage: Eukaryota
Description: SSU rRNA
Rfam family: Eukaryotic small subunit ribosomal RNA
Source: RNAcentral
AGCUCCAAUAGCGUAUAUUAAAGUUGUUGCGGUUAAAAGCUCGUAGUUGGAUUUCUGCUUGGGCCGACCGGUCCGCCCUCUGGGUGUGUAUCUGGCUUGUGCCCGGGCAUCCGCUUGUGGAACGUUCCUGCACUUGAUUUGUGUGGGCCGGAACGCAAGCCUUUCACUUUGAGGAAAUUAGAGUGUUUCAAGCAGGCUUUUGCCUUGAAUACGCUAGCAUGGAAUGAUAAGAUAGGACCUCGUCCCAUCCUUGUUGGUUCGAUGAGAUGAGGUAAUGAUUAAUAGGGAUAGUCGGGGGCAUUCG